GUUCUAUUGGUUAACCUGACAUGGGAUGACUUCAGGCACUGGGAUCCCCCAGGACUGCUUUGGUGCCAAGUCUGUGUAGCCUGCAGCAGGUGGAAGAAGGCCUCCCUGGUCUGGGAUUUAUUGUGUAUCAAGGGUCUUAGAACAGCUGCGCUUGGCUCCCAUUAGGAACUUGUCCAACAGGUAUGCUUUUAUUCUUGGGAAACACAAGCGUUGAAAGAUACAGAAGCAAAAAGAGAAUAAUUUAACAACCAUCUGCAUACUUGCCAUGUGUAAUGAACAGGUAUUAAUGUUUAUUGAUAUUUGCUUCAUACAUUGCUGUUAAUACAAUAAUAUCACUGUCAAGUUGGAGCUGCCUCUUAGUCCUAUUCCAGAUCACCCCCUCCUGCCCAAGAGACAACUCUUUGGAUGAAUUUCAUGUAUAACAUACUGGUCAAAUAUGCGUACUUUGAAUUGAAUCCAUAAACCAUAUGCUGAAGUUUUGAACAUUUUAUACAAAUAUUAUCAUACACUAUUCAUCUUUCUGUAAUUAGCUUCAAUUUCAUUCAACACGAAGUUUCGUUUUAAAGGUCUGUGUUGAUGCCUUUAAAUCUAGUGCAUUUGUUUAAAUUGCUGAAUUGUAGUCCACUGAUGGAUGCUUAAGUUGGGUUUUUAGAUUUUAUCUACAACAUCUGUUUUGCAAGGAUCCAGGCAUCACAUCCUUUACAGAAGGCUGUGCAGAUUCAGAUUUAGGGAUAGAUAAACCAACAGGUGUUUCUGAGACAUCCAUGAGUCUCUCUGGAUGAAGGCUAUUUAUUUAUGUAUUUAUCCUUUCUAAGUUCAAUUUACCAUUCCAGACACUUUUUAUCCCCCUAGGAUGAAUCCUUAUUUUACUCAUAGUGUUGUAUUUUGACUUUGAUAAGACCUUGGAACACUCCCUUAAUAUUUUCAUAUAUGUCUGAACCCCAGGGAAUAAUAUAGAUGCAGAUUUCCAUGGUCUGUCCCUUCAAUUAACAAAACAUGUUCGCAAAUGCCAAAAAUGAGCAGCAGAGUUGAGCAGAAUAUCCAAGUUCACUAAUAAACCUUCAGAACUGCUACUCUUCUUCA
RNAcentral lists this long non-coding RNA (1083 nucleotides) under Sus scrofa (pig). RNAcentral's name for it is "lncRNA (ENSSSCG00040009090.1)". Lineage: Eukaryota; Metazoa; Chordata; Mammalia; Artiodactyla; Suidae. The record is from RNAcentral.